RNAcentral lists this ribosomal RNA (208 nucleotides) under uncultured bacterium. RNAcentral's name for it is "partial 16S ribosomal RNA". It matches the Rfam family "Bacterial small subunit ribosomal RNA", at positions 568 to 774 of the family's 1533-position model. The record is from RNAcentral.
CGCGUAGGCGGCUUUAUAAGUCUGGAGUGAAAGUCCUCUUUUCAAGGGAGGAAUUGCUUUGGAAACCAUAGAGCUUGAGUGCAGGAGAGGUUAUCGGAAUUCCCGGUGUAGCGGUGAAAUGCGUAGAUAUCGGGAGGAACAUCGGUGGCGAAGGCGGGUAACUGGACUGCAACUGACGCUGAGGCGCGAAAGUGUGGGGAAGCAAACA